Myotis brandtii (Brandt's bat) is the source of this 125-nucleotide long non-coding RNA. RefSeq lists it as uncharacterized. NCBI's taxonomy places the organism in Eukaryota, Metazoa, Chordata, Mammalia, Chiroptera, Vespertilionidae. The transcript has 3 exons. The record is from RefSeq and is a predicted model, not a curated record.
GAAAACAUUGUAAAACCAUUGUAACCACACACUUACUUUGCCUCGUGAAAACUGGCUAUAAAAUAAAGACUCGGCUUGCAGUCUGUGGCGCUGUCACUAGCUCUCCAUCAGAGAGGACAGCGUCC